AGGUGGGAUCAUACCAGAGUUCAUGCACCAGGUCCCAUCAGAACUUCACAAUUAAGCAUGCUUGGGCUAGAGUAGUAUUGGGAUGGGUGACCUCCCGGGAAGUCCUAGUGUUGCACCCU
This is a non-coding RNA of Picea glauca (white spruce), 119 nucleotides long. The record is from Rfam. Lineage: Eukaryota; Viridiplantae; Streptophyta; Pinopsida; Pinales; Pinaceae.